CAACCUGCCUUUCAGAGGGGGAUAACAGUUGGAAACGACUGCUAAUACCGCAUAACGCUGCGAUGGGGCAUCCCGAUGCAGCCAAAGGAGCAAUCCGCUGGAAGAUGGGCUCGCGGCCGAUUAGCUAGUUGGUGGGGCAACGGCCCACCAAGGCGACGAUCGGUAGCCGGACUGAGAGGUUGAUCGGCCACAUUGGGACUGAGACACGGCCCAGACUCCUACGGAAGGCAGCAG
This 234-nucleotide ribosomal RNA is filed under the name uncultured bacterium. RNAcentral describes it as "partial 16S ribosomal RNA". It matches the Rfam family "Bacterial small subunit ribosomal RNA", at positions 122 to 354 of the family's 1533-position model. The record is from RNAcentral.